AGCAGCCGCGGUAAUUCCAGCUCCAAUAGCGUAUAUUAAAGUUGUUGCAGUUAAAAAGCUCGUAGUUGAAUUUCGGGGUCAGUAGAUUGGUCGUGCCACCGGUAUGUACUGGUCUUACUGGCUCCUCCUUCCUGAUGAACCGUAAUGCCAUUAAUUUGGUGUUGCGGGGAAACUGGACUGUUACUUUGAAAAAAUUAGAGUGUUUAAAGCAGGCUAACGCUUGAAUACAUUAGCAUGGAAUAAUGAAAUAGGACGUUCGAUCUUAUUUUGUUGGUUUCUAGGAUUGACGUAAUGAUUAAUAGGGAUAGUUGGGGGCAUUAGUAUUCAAUUGUCAGAGGUGAAAUUCUUGGAUUUAUUGAAGACUAACUACUGCGAAAGCAUUUGCCAAGGAUGUUUUCAUUAAUCAAGAGCGAAAGUUAGGGGAUCGAAGACGAUCAGAUACCGUCGUAGUCUUAACCAUAAACUAUGCCGACUAGGGAUCGGAUGAUGUUAAUUUUUUAAUGACUCAUUCGGCGCCUUA
RNAcentral lists this ribosomal RNA (520 nucleotides) under uncultured Glomus. RNAcentral describes it as "SSU rRNA". It matches the Rfam family "Eukaryotic small subunit ribosomal RNA", at positions 569 to 1090 of the family's 1831-position model. The record is from RNAcentral. Lineage: Eukaryota; Fungi; Glomeromycota; Glomeromycetes; Glomerales; Glomeraceae.